GGAGGAAAAGACAUCAACCGAGAUUCCGUUAGUAGUGGCGAGCGAACGCGGACCAGGCCAGUGCUUCUAAUUCAACUAGCAGAACCAUCUGGAAAGAUGGGCCAUAGCGGGUGACAGCCCCGUAUGCGAAAGUGAUGUUAGAAGACUCGAGUAGGGCGGGACACGUGUAAUCCUGUCUGAACAUGGGGGGACCACCCUCCAAGCCUAAAUACUCGUAUGCGACCGAUAGCGAACUAGUACCGUGAGGGAAAGGUGAAAAGCACCCCGAUGAGGGGAGUGAAACAGUACCUGAAACCGAUUGCCUACAAGCAGUGGGAGCCUCUUUAUGGGGUGACCGCGUACCUCUUGCAUAAUGGGUCUGUGACUUAAUGUAUCAAGCAAGCUUAAGCCGAUAGGUGUAGGCGCAGCGAAAGCGAGUCUGAAUAGGGCGACUUAGUUUGAUGUAUUAGACCCGAAACCCGGCGAUCUAGGCAUGACCAGGAUGAAGGUGGGGUAACACCCACUGGAGGUCCGAACCGAUUAACGUUGAAAAGUUACCGGAUGAGUUGUGUUUAGGGGUGAAAGGCCAAUCAAGCCGGGAAAUAGCUGGUUCUCCGCGAAAACUAUUGAGGUAGUGCCUCGCACGAACACCUUAGGGGGUAGAGCACUGGAUGGGCUAGGGGGUCGCGAGAUCUACCAAACCUAACCAAACUCCGAAUACCUAAGAGUGAUAUGCGGGAGACAGACGGCGGGUGCUAAGGUCCGUCGUCAAAAGGGAAACAGCCCUGACCUACAGCUAAGGCCCCCAAAUCGUAUCUAAGUGGGAAAGCAUGUGGGACUUCCAAAACAACCAGGAGGUUGGCUUAGAAGCAGCCAUCCUUUAAAGAAAGCGUAACAGCUCACUGGUCUAAACAAGAGGUCCUGCGGCGAAGAUGUAACGGGGCUCAAGAUACGUGCCGAAGCUUAGGGUGUGCCACUUAUGUGGUACGCGGUAGCGGAGCGUUCCGUAAGCCUGUGAAGCGAUCUGGUAAUGGGUCGUGGAGGUAUCGGAAGUGCGAAUGCAGACAUGAGUAGCGAUAAAAAGGGUGAGAUGCCCUUUCGCCGAAAGACCAAGGGUUCCUGCGCAAGGCUAAUCCGCGCAGGGUGAGCCGGCCCCUAAGACGAGCCCGAAGGGGGUAGUCGAUGGGAACCACGUUAAUAUUCGUGGGCCUGGUGGUGUGUGACGGAUGGUGUGUGUUGUAUGCUCUUAACGGAUUGAGCAUGCUUCGAAGCUGUCCCGGGAAAUAGCCCCACCGUAUAGACCGUACCCGAAACCGACACAGGUGGUCAGGUAGAGUAUACCAAGGCGCUUGAGAGAAGUGUCCUGAAGGAACUCGGCAAAUUGCCUCCGUACCUUCGGAAGAAGGAGGCCCUCACAUUGCGCAAGCAGUAUGAGGGGGCACAGGCCAGGGGGUAGCGACUGUUUAGCAAAAACACAGGGCUCUGCUAAGUCGGCUUCAAGACGACGUAUAGGGUCUGACGCCUGCCCGGUGCCUGAAGGUUAAGUGGAGGGGUGCAAGCUCCGAAAUGAAGCCCAGGUAAACGGCGGCCGUAACUAUAACGGUCCUAAGGUAGCGAAAUUCCUUGUCGGG
RNAcentral lists this ribosomal RNA (1610 nucleotides) under sediment metagenome. RNAcentral describes it as "bacterial LSU rRNA". It matches the Rfam family "Bacterial large subunit ribosomal RNA", at positions 212 to 1976 of the family's 2925-position model. The record is from RNAcentral.